RNAcentral lists this ribosomal RNA (713 nucleotides) under Vibrio sp. 13B10. Its description in RNAcentral is "bacterial SSU rRNA". It matches the Rfam family "Bacterial small subunit ribosomal RNA", at positions 33 to 735 of the family's 1533-position model. The record is from RNAcentral. Lineage: Bacteria; Pseudomonadati; Pseudomonadota; Gammaproteobacteria; Vibrionales; Vibrionaceae.
ACGCUGGCGGCAGGCCUAACACAUGCAAGUCGAGCGGUAACAGGAAGUAGCUUGCUACUUCGCUGACGAGCGGCGGACGGGUGAGUAAUGCCUGGGAAUAUGCCUUGAUGUGGGGGAUAACUAUUGGAAACGAUAGCUAAUACCGCAUAAUGCCUACGGGCCAAAGAGGGGGAUCUUCGGACCUCUCGCGUCAAGAUUAGCCCAGGUGGGAUUAGCUAGUUGGUGGGGUAAAGGCUCACCAAGGCGACGAUCCCUAGCUGGUCUGAGAGGAUGAUCAGCCACACUGGAACUGAGACACGGUCCAGACUCCUACGGGAGGCAGCAGUGGGGAAUAUUGCACAAUGGGGGAAACCCUGAUGCAGCCAUGCCGCGUGUAUGAAGAAGGCCUUCGGGUUGUAAAGUACUUUCAGCAGUGAGGAAGGUGGUKKUGUUAAUAGCAYYAUCAUUUGACGUUAGCUGCAGAAGAAGCACCGGCUAACUCCGUGCCAGCAGCCGCGGUAAUACGGAGGGUGCGAGCGUUAAUCGGAAUUACUGGGCGUAAAGCGCAUGCAGGCGGUCUGUUAAGCAAGAUGUGAAAGCCCGGGGCUCAACCUCGGAACAGCAUUUUGAACUGGCAGACUAGAGUCUUGUAGAGGGGGGUAGAAUUUCAGGUGUAGCGGUGAAAUGCGUAGAGAUCUGAAGGAAUACCGGUGGCGAAGGCGGCCCCCUGGACA